UCUACUUCACUUCCGUUAUCGAAGGCUCACCGGUAUAUGCUUUUUGUAGAGUCAUUAGAAAUAUUGUUCGUUUUAGGACAAUAGUUAGGUUUCGUAUUGAAAUGGAAGUCUCGUGUGCAAGUCACAUAAGAUAGAAAAGUUCCAACUCACUCUGCCCACUUCGAUUCAGCACGAUCAUUCUGCUGUGCCUGAGGGAAUUUCUGGUGGGUGUGUGUCGACCUGCUAUUUGCGAAGCAGCUAGAUUAACGGGAACUGUGGUUGACAAACAAUUGGCCAUAGAAGGAGCUCGCCCAAGUUCUUUAUCGGUUUUAUCCGUUCGAUAUGUUUUACCAAUAUUACCCAUCGAAAGAGCACCUGUGUCAAAUUUAUUACUCUUGAUAGUUAUUUAAAAAUUCGUUUAAUCUUAACUUGAUAAUCAUUUCAUUGUCUAGAAGAUGUAGUACCAAUUUCGAAAUUAUGUUCGUAACGAAUCAAUUUCAUUAACAGAAAACUCAAAAUUAA
Molecule: long non-coding RNA, 501 nt
Organism: Vespa mandarinia (Asian giant hornet)
Lineage: Eukaryota; Metazoa; Arthropoda; Insecta; Hymenoptera; Vespidae
Source: RefSeq, a predicted model, not a curated record